Molecule: long non-coding RNA, 1757 nt
Organism: Peromyscus leucopus (white-footed mouse)
Lineage: Eukaryota; Metazoa; Chordata; Mammalia; Rodentia; Cricetidae
Exons: 2
Source: RefSeq, a predicted model, not a curated record
GAAAUGACUUGGGCGAAGCGACUCAGGAAAGAAGGGAACACAUUGCUCUCAGCUCACGGGAGGAGGGAAGACCUUCUCCUGUGGUGGCUCACGGCUGAAGAUUCCGUGUUGUCCCGAAGCAUGUCAGAGCUCGUGACUCACCAGGUAAUAGUGGCACCACAAGAUCUGAGCACAAUAAAUCUUGACGGAAUCUUGACAGUCUCCUUCUAGUUCACGGAGCCAAAUGAAGGUGAGUGAGGAAAGGCUGUGUGCUGCGAUGGUGGCGGGUUUGAUGGACAGCCUACGUGUGCUUAUCAUUCACCCUUGACAGCAGCCAACCCGCAGAGUGAAGGUAGGUGCCCUCAACAGACAACAGUGAGGGGAAAUGCGCUGUAGACAAAAAGGAGUACUGCUCAGCCAGAAAGAAGAAAAUUACGUCAUUUGCAGGAACAUGGUAGAAGUGGUGAUCAUCCUGGUAAGCAAAAUCAGCCAGUGUCGCAAAGAUAAGUCUCAUACAUAAGAGGUAGGAGAAAGACGAAAGGGGGACAAAAUCUUCAUUUCCAGUUUAAUUGAAAGAAAAGACUAUUAGGGAUGGGGGGAGGGGACUGGAGGAAAAGAGUAAUAGAAGAGGGGAUAUGAUCAAAACCCAUUCUCUCUACAUGUGUGGGAAUGUCAUAAUGACAUUUAGCUUUGUAUAAUUAAUAAAUGUUAUAACAGAGAGGAAAGGAAAGAGAAGAAACAUCUUGAAGAAAACCACAUGAAGAGGAUGAGUGCUGUGUGGACUUCCUGCUUCAUACUCAUGCCCCCUGACCUCCCCACCCACCUUUCCUGCUGGUAUCAUCACCUUGGGUUGUACCCAGGAAGGAUCCAGGCCUUACUCUUUAAGCUCAUGAGUUCCCUCCUUCCCAGGGAGAAGCACAGGUGAGGCCCUGAGUUUAUCUGGUUCUGGGGAUGGAAUCCAGCAGGAAUGCCUGGUGUAUGGGACCACUUGGCAGUGUUUACAUUUUGCUAGAGAGAAGUAUUAACUGAGAUUAUGGGGAGAAAUGCAGUGCAUAUUUUAGCUCGCAGACCCUUUCAUUUUCCGGUAGUGUGUUUCAGAAAACUGGAGCUAGAGUGUAGGUAGUUGAUGAUUCAGCGAGAGCCAUCUCCUUCUCCAUGCAUCUCAGGACCAGAGGUGGGUAGUCCACUGUCCCCCACAGAGCUUGCUCCCUGACUGCUGAAUAAUCUUCAUAGUUUCUCCGUCUAAGCUAAACGCUGUGGGUGCUGCUCCUCAGUGGAAACAGGAUCAGUUGGCGACUGCUCCUGACAGAGAGCAAAGAACUCCCUGAGAACGUAGCUCACUGCAGCAGCCCCCACAGCCCAGCUCUGGGACUUGGCCGGAGUCUUGCACUUCAAAGAAGCUAGGGGCACCAAGCCUGUACCUGCUUCCUGUCACUGCAGCGUGUGUGACAAAACCUGUGUUUAACUUGGGUGAGCGUCAGAACAUUCCAACUAAGAGCCUGCGCAGAAGGUCCACAUGUGAACCCUGUGUCACGCUCCCAGCCCUGAACAGUUUCCAGUGGGGCCGACAAAGUCACCGCCAUGUGGACACAAAGGCCAUGCCUGGGGUUGAAACGAACUAUUUAUCCACUUACUAAACCGGGACAGUUACUCUCAUGGACAGGGCUAACACCCAGAACUGCUGGGUCCAAAUUCUGAAUAGUCUCAUUGUAUUCAGUGUUUUCCAGAGCAUGAAUCUUUCCCAGCUUUGUGAAAAUACAAAGAUGGGUUUAAAUUCA